Molecule: ribosomal RNA, 274 nt
Filed under: uncultured Staphylococcus sp.
Lineage: Bacteria; Bacillati; Bacillota; Bacilli; Caryophanales; Staphylococcaceae
Description: partial 16S ribosomal RNA
Rfam family: Bacterial small subunit ribosomal RNA
Source: RNAcentral
AUGUUAGCGGCGGACGGGUGAGUAACACGUGGGUAACCUACCUAUAAGACUGGGAUAACUCCGGGAAACCGGGGCUAAUACCGGAUAAUAUUUUGAACCGCAUGGUUCGAUAGUGAAAGACGGUUUCGGCUGUCACUUAUAGAUGGACCCGCGCCGUAUUAGCUAGUUGGUAAGGUAACGGCUUACCAAGGCGACGAUACGUAGCCGACCUGAGAGGGUGAUCGGCCACACUGGAACUGAGACACGGUCCAGACUCCUACGGGAGGCAGCAGGC